RNAcentral lists this ribosomal RNA (378 nucleotides) under uncultured bacterium. RNAcentral's name for it is "bacterial SSU rRNA". It matches the Rfam family "Bacterial small subunit ribosomal RNA", at positions 28 to 407 of the family's 1533-position model. The record is from RNAcentral.
GACGAACGCUGGCGGCGUGCUUAACACAUGCAAGUCGAGCGGUAGGGCCCUUUCGGGGGUACACGAGCGGCGAACGGGUGAGUAACACGUGGGUGACCUGCCCUUAGCUCUGGGAUAAGCCUGGGAAACUGGGUCUAAUACCGGAUAUGACUCCAUGACGCAUGUUGUGGGGUGGAAAGCCUUGUGCGGCUAGGGAUGGGCCUGCGGCCUAUCAGCUUGUUGGUGGGGUGAUGGCCUACCAAGGCGACGACGGGUAGCCGGCCUGAGAGGGCGACCGGCCACACUGGGACUGAGACACGGCCCAGACUCCUACGGGAGGCAGCAGUGGGGAAUCUUGCGCAAUGGGCGAAAGCCUGACGCAGCGACGCCGCGUGGGGA